UACGAGGGGGGCAAGCGUUGUUCGGAAUUACUGGGCGUAAAGGGCUCGUAGGUGGCCAACUAAGUCAGACGUGAAAUCCCCAGGCUCAACUUGGGAACUGCGUCUGAUACUGGAUGGCUUGAAUUCGGGAGAGGGAUGCAGAAUUCCAGGUGUAGCGGUGAAAUGCGUAGAUAUCUGGAGGAAUACCGGUGGCGAAGGCGGCAUCCUGGACCGAGAUUGACACUGAUGAGCGAAAGCUAGGGGAGCAAACGGG
This 253-nucleotide ribosomal RNA is filed under the name uncultured bacterium. RNAcentral's name for it is "partial 16S ribosomal RNA". It matches the Rfam family "Bacterial small subunit ribosomal RNA", at positions 524 to 776 of the family's 1533-position model. The record is from RNAcentral.